UUUUGUAUAUGAACUUGCUUCAAAAAGCGAAAGAGGUUGCAACAAAGAGUCCCUCCCGACUGUUUACCAAAAACACAGCACUUUGCUAACACGUAAGUGGAUGUAUAAGGUGUGACGCCUGCCCGGUGCUCGAAGGUUAACUGAUGAUGUCAGCGCAAGCGAAGCAUUUGAUUGAAGCCCGAGUAAACGGCGGCCGUAACUAUAACGGUCCUAAGGUAGCGAAAUUCCUUGUCGGUUAAAUACCGACCUGCAUGAAUGGCGUAACGAGAUGGGAGCUGUCUCAACCAGGGAUCCAGUGAAAUUGUAGUGGAGGUGAAAAUUCCUCCUACCCGCGGAAAGACGGAAAGACCCCGUGCACCUUUACUACAGCUUGACACUGUAGCUUGGAUAUUCAUGUGCAGGAUAGGUGGGAGGCUAUGAUGACUAGACGCCAGUAGAGUCGGAGCCAUCCUUGAGAUACCACCCUUGAAUAUUUGAGUUACUAACUGCGUACAAUUAUCUUGUAUCAGGACAAUGUCUGGUGGGUAGUUUGACUGGGGCGGUCGCCUCCUAAAAAGUAACGGAGGCUUACAAAGGUUAGU
This 581-nucleotide ribosomal RNA is filed under the name Aliarcobacter butzleri. RNAcentral describes it as "partial 23S ribosomal RNA". It matches the Rfam family "Bacterial large subunit ribosomal RNA", at positions 1735 to 2321 of the family's 2925-position model. The record is from RNAcentral. Lineage: Bacteria; Pseudomonadati; Campylobacterota; Epsilonproteobacteria; Campylobacterales; Arcobacteraceae.